UUUCCGUAGGUGAACCUGCGGAAGGAUCAUCA
This 32-nucleotide ribosomal RNA is filed under the name Clavularia sp. Da-1. Its description in RNAcentral is "partial 18S rRNA". Lineage: Eukaryota; Metazoa; Cnidaria; Anthozoa; Malacalcyonacea; Clavulariidae. RNAcentral also lists the same sequence under 1 other name. The record is from RNAcentral.